GGGACAGGGAUACUGGAGGGAUGGAGGUAGAUAUGUAUAGGGGGAAGGGGACAAUAUACAGGGUCAGUACCAUAUUAACAAUGUACAGGGAUACUGGAGUGAUGGAGGUAGAUAUGUAUAGGGGGAAGGGUACAGGGAUACUGGAGGGAUGGAGGUAGAUAUGUAUAGGGGGAAGGGGACAAUAUUCAGGGUCAGUACCAUAUUAACAAUGUACAGGGAUACUGGAGGGAUGGAGGUAGAUAUGUAUAGGGGGAAGGGGACAAUAUACAGGAUCAGUACCAUAUUAACAAUGUACAGGGAUACUGGAGUGAUGGAGGUAGAUAUGUAUAGGGGAAGGGGA
Molecule: long non-coding RNA, 340 nt
Filed under: Salmo salar (Atlantic salmon)
Lineage: Eukaryota; Metazoa; Chordata; Actinopteri; Salmoniformes; Salmonidae
Description: lncRNA (ENSSSAG00000120828.1)
Source: RNAcentral